GGCCUUGUAGUUCAGAAGUUAGAACAUCGUUCGGAAAUACGAAUGUUGCGGGAUCGAUUCCCAGCCGUGGUCA
Paramuricea clavata is the source of this 73-nucleotide non-coding RNA. The record is from the annotation of a GenBank genome assembly. NCBI's taxonomy places the organism in Eukaryota, Metazoa, Cnidaria, Anthozoa, Malacalcyonacea, Plexauridae.